GUCGGUGACCAGACGUGUGGGGAAACACCCGUUCCCAUUCCGAACACGGAAGUUAAGCCCACGCGGCCGAUGGUAGUCGAAAGGCGAGAGUAGGUGAUUGCCGACA
RNAcentral lists this ribosomal RNA (106 nucleotides) under Phycisphaerae bacterium. Lineage: Bacteria; Pseudomonadati; Planctomycetota; Phycisphaerae. The record is from RNAcentral.